ACUUGUGAAAUACCGCCGCUCCCAACAGAAGCGACCCACCCUUCCCUGAGGUUGCACCCAGCCUGGCUCGAAACGACACCCGCGGGAUUGGACGGAAUCCAAAAGCGGAACCCGAAACCGCGCGGCCGGAAGAGAAAACAGACCCGCAGACGCUGGGAGGAGAGUGGUGCGCUGGACCCGCCCCACCGGAUGUGUCCUGGACACGCCCCGGCACCGCCCCGCGACGCACGCGCGUGCGCCAUUUUCUGCAGCCCCGGAAGCUGAUCCAGCAGGGCAACGUGCGCUGUGGGGUGAGCGAGUCUCCAUUUUUCUGGUUCGCACCAGCGGUUGCGCUGCUCAGUGCCUGGGGCUCCACCCCAGGUUCCGGGGUCGCCUGUAUAACCUUACUUGAGAAGGAAGACCAGAAGAAGAGGGAAAAAAGAAGGAAUGGCUCUUUUCCAGGGACGGUUGACCUUCAGGGAUGUGGCCAUAGAGUUCUCUCAGGAGGAGUGGGAGUGCCUGGACCCUGCUCAGAGGGCCUUGUACAGGGACGUGAUGUUGGAGAACUACAGGAACCUGGUCUCCGUGGGUGAGGAUAACUUGCCUCCAGAAGUCGAACUCAAGAGGCAGCAGCAAUUUUUGAUUUUAAGUAAUUUCUACAACCAGAGUGGGGUUUGAACUCAACUGCAAAGUCAAGGGUUGCAUGGUGUACUGACUUAGCCAGCCAGGCAGCCCUCUUUUUUGUUUAUUAACCUUUUGAUCACCUUCACCCAUUUCUGCUCACCUACCUGCGUGUAGCAACGACCAAUAUAUUCUCUGUAUCUAAUGAGUUUUUGUUUCUUUAAGAUUGCACACAUAGGAGCAAUCAUACUGUAGUGGUCUUUGACUCAUUCCACAUAGCAUAUUGUCCUCAAGGUCCAUCUCUGUUGUCACAAAUGGGAAGAUUGUAUUCUACUUAGUGGCUAGAUAAUAUUGUGUUGUAUAUACACAUCUUUAUCCAUUCACCCAUCAACGGACACUUAGAUUGUGUUCGUAUCUCAACUGUUAUAAAUAGUGCUGCAGUGAACAUCAGAAUGCUUCUAUCUUUUCUGGUUAGUAUUUUUGUUGUCUUCAGAUAAAUACCCAGUAGAAUUGGUGGAUCACACAGUAGUUCUCUUGGCUAUACCUGAUUCUCCACCCUGUUGACAACACGUGUUGUUUCUUGUCUUUUUACUAACUGCCAUUCUAAUAUUAGGUGUGAAGCGAUAUUGUGGUUUUGAUUUGCAUUUCCCUGAUGAUGAAUGAUGUUGAGCACCUUUUCAUGGUCCUGUUGGCCAUCUCUAAGUCUUUGGAAAAUGUCUAUUCAGAUCUUGUGCCCAUUUCUUAAAUUGGGUUAUUUGAGCAUGUUUUGGGAAUGUUUUAGAUUAUUAGUCCAUUAUCAGAUACAUGAUCUGCUAAUAGUUCCUCCCAUUCAGUAGGCUGCCUUUUCAUUUUGUUGAAAAAGUGUUCCUUUGCUGUGUAGACAUGUUUCAGUUUGAUAUAAUUCCAAACGUUUUUGCUUUUGUUGUUUUUCCUUUUGGUUUUGAGAGUCAAAAAACAAAAGCAAAAGUCAUUGCCUAGACAUGUUUCAAGAAGCUUAUUACCCCCUAACUUUUCUUAAUAGGAGUUUUAUGAUUUCAGGUCUUAGGUUUAAGUCUUUAAUCCAUUCUUAGUUAACUUUUGUGUAUGGUGUCAGAUAGUGGUACAGUUUCAUGCCUUUGCCUCUGCCUGUCCCGUUUUCCCAAACCAUCAAUUGAAGAGAUUGUGCUUUCCCCCUUUGUAUAGUCAUGUCUCCUUUAUUGUAAAUUAAGUGACCAUGUGUGUGGGUUUAUUUCUGGGCUGUAUUCUGUUCUGUUGAUCUAUUUGUGUAUUUUUAUGCUAAUACCAUACUGUUUUAAUUACCACAGCUUUGUAGUCAGGGGGUUUGAAAUCAGGGAAUGUGAUGCCUCCAGCUACGUACUUUGUUGUCAAGAUGCUUUGGCCAUUCAGGAUCUUUAGUGGCUCCAUAGAAAUUUUAGGAUUUUUCACUUUUGUGGGUAUGUUUUCAUGUGGACAGAAAUUUUCCACUUAUUUGUGUGAAUACCAAAGAAUGGGACUGCUAGGUUGUAUUUAAGGGUACGUUUAGUUUUGUAAGAAAGUGCAAACUGUUCCAAAGAGGAGUACCAUUUUGCAUCCCCCCCCAGCAAUGAAUGAGAGUUCUUAUGGCUCCACAUUCUCACUAGUAUUUGGUGUUAGUGUUGUGGAUUUUGGCCAUUCUCAUAAAUGUGCAGUGAUAUCUAAUUGUUACAACAGAUAUUUUCCUCGAUUAAAGUUAUGACUUUUC
This is a long non-coding RNA of Neofelis nebulosa (Clouded leopard), 2320 nucleotides long. RefSeq lists it as uncharacterized. The record is from RefSeq and is a predicted model, not a curated record. The transcript has 4 exons. Lineage: Eukaryota; Metazoa; Chordata; Mammalia; Carnivora; Felidae.